RNAcentral lists this ribosomal RNA (94 nucleotides) under uncultured gamma proteobacterium eBACHOT4E07. The record is from RNAcentral. Lineage: Bacteria; Pseudomonadati; Pseudomonadota; Gammaproteobacteria.
CCACCUGAUCCCAUUUCGAACUCAGAAGUGAAACGAGUUAACGCCAAUGGUAGUGCAGGGUCUCCCUGUGUGAGAGUAGGAAAUCGUCAGGCUU